This 460-nucleotide ribosomal RNA is filed under the name uncultured bacterium. RNAcentral's name for it is "partial 16S ribosomal RNA". It matches the Rfam family "Bacterial small subunit ribosomal RNA", at positions 338 to 795 of the family's 1533-position model. The record is from RNAcentral.
CCUACGGGAGGCAGCAGUGAGGAAUAUUGGUCAAUGGACGCAAGUCUGAACCAGCCAUGCCGCGUGCAGGAAGGCGGCUCUAUGAGUUGUAAACUGCUUUUGUACGAGGGUAAACGCAGAUACGCGUAUCUGUCUGAAAGUAUCGUACGAAUAAGGAUCGGCUAACUCCGUGCCAGCAGCCGCGGUAAUACGGAGGAUUCAAGCGUUAUCCGGAUUUAUUGGGUUUAAAGGGUGCGUAGGCGGUCGGAUAAGUUAGAGGUGAAAUCCCGAGGCUCAACUUCGGAAUUGCCUCUGAUACUGUUCGGCGAGAGAGUAGUUGCGGUAGGCGGAAUGUAUGGUGUAGCGGUGAAAUGCUUAGAGAUCAUACAGAACACCGAUUGCGAAGGCAGCUUACCAAGCUACUUCUGACGUUGAGGCACGAAAGCGUGGGGAGCAAACAGGAUUAGAUACCCGGGUAGUC